ACAGCCGCACACAAAAACCUUUGCAUUCGUCAUAUUCACAGCCGCAGCACACAAAAACCUACUCCGCCAAAAUGAGUAUGAAAUCUAGUGAUUUUCUCCCCUAAAACAACAUCAGUAUGCCAAAUGGGUUAAUUUUAAUGUUCCGAUUCUCAUUCAUUUGGGUGAUUAUGAGAAGUAAUCAGUUGAUCUUUCGACAAAUCAGUGAAAUAUUCGAUCGUGAUUUCCCUGUUUAAAUUCAGAGGUAUUAUUCCUACUUUUAUGUAUAUUAGUUUAGAUUAUUUUUAAUUUAAUGUUUUUUGUUUCGUAUCUUUCAUAAAAUGUCGAAUGUAUUAGCAUUAUAACACCUUAUACUAGCCAGCAUCAACAUAUCGAUUUGCAAUGUUGGGCUAAAUUUUUACGUAUUUUUGAUACUAUGUAUUUUUGAUUAGAGAAACGAAAAUACAGACCUUUGUUCCCUGAAAUAUUAAAUACAAUAGCAUACAAAGUCUUUUUUGAAGAAAAACGUGGAUUCAAUUUCAUAUUGAUAAAUGUAAGUUGAUUUUGGUUUAAACAGGAGAUAUUUAAGUUAAUUUAGCAGUAAGCUCAUCUGUGAUUGCCAACCCAUUUGUUUGGAUAGUUUCUCAGAAAGCUAUCUGCUAACACCAGAGCUUUACAAUUCGAUUGCCCCCUUGCUCCAGGGCCUAACUAUUCAAAAUCUCCCCCUUUCCAAGUUAACACACUUUGGCAGAAAAGCACUAGCCCACAAAACCUAAACCAGCCAUUUGGAUCAUCUUGAUAAUUUAAACUAGGAUCUGGAGCCAUAAUAUUCAAGCAAUCCCAAUCUUUCCUUUGCCCAAGUCGGUAGCUUUCCAUCAUCUACCUUUCAUGAUCCCUUCUAUGCAAAGGAAUGCACUGUUUUUGACACCACGGGUUGUCUUCUAAAUUGAGGCACAAGUCUACACAUAGAAAUCUGAUGUGUGUUUUGUUGGCUAUAUGAUUUUUUGUAGUUUCUUUUAUUAGGUUUCUUAUUUCGAAAUUUUGUUAAAGUUUAUUUUUUUUUACGUGUAAAUGGUUGACAAUGCAUUAUUUUCUUAUAUGGAUUACAUGGUAAACUUUUUGUAUUUUUUGUAGAAAGACAACAUGUCAUCAAGAAGUAUGGUAGAGAGCAACAAAUUUUGUCCCCAAUACCAUCCCCGUACCAUCCCUCAUGCACCAAUAACAUCGAAGAAGACACCAAAAAAUGAAAGAAAAACAGUAAAAUAAGACAUUAUACUUGAAAAUGAAAGUGAAAACCCUCUCUAUAAUAGACAUCAUGAUUUGUGGCAAAUGGAAAGUCAUCAACAUACGAUGAUUGCAGAUUUGCGUUGGUGGAGAAGUCUCCAACCUGAAAUGUUUAAAAUAAUGAUAAUUAAAGCCUAUAAGAAUGUGACUUAUUCAUAUAAAUUAAGGACAAACAUGUACAUUAAGAUCUAUUGCAUCAUGUCUCAUGUAGUCUUCUGUUUAACUUGAGAAUUGUUAUUGAGUACACUUAGUCACCAUGAGAACUCUACACAAAAGAAAAAGGAGUAAAAUAAAAACAUUUAAUCUAAAUAAAUAAAAUUUUACAUUUGAAAAAAUUAACGAAAAAUGUUUACUAAAUUAGUGAAAUCUAAGUUAUGUUCAAUGGCCUUGUCUUUUCCUUUUUCUUUCUCUUUAUUUUUCCUUUUCUUCACUCUUAUACGACUAACAACUUUUUCAAUCUUAGAAUGAAGCCUUUUAAAGCGGCGCCGACCUUUACGAUGAAUCAACAAAGGACUAUAAAUAUUAUUUUUUUUACAACUACUACCCACUUGAGUGCCUUAUUUGAAAGGAGUCGAGUGAUUACUUCCACAUGUUCCAUCAUCUUUUUUUAGUACAUUAACAAAUCUUUUAAUCCAAUGCAUAACAACUUUUGUCUUAUCUUCAUUAUUUAUCGCCAAGUUUGCCGCUUCAUAAAAAGAGUUGCACUGUGACGCCCCAAAAUAGGUUCACACAACUCAUUCUGAGUCGCCAAAUACAUGGUACAGAAUCCAAAUAUAACUUCAUUUAUACAACUGUCGUGCAAAAUACGAAAACACAUAAACUGAGAGUUUCAAUACAAAUAUUGUCUCGCAGACAAUAUCUAAACUAAAGUAAAGUUCUCAUUACAAUUAUUAUCACAUUAUUUUAUAAAAUAGUGAAGACUACUAUAAUAACCAUCUUGGACCAUUAUUUCAUUCCCUGACUAGUCCCAAUUACAUUCUCGCCUCUUGAGAAGAACACUGGAACCAAAAGAAAAAAGGUGAGCUCAACUAGCACAGUAAAAAAAAUAUUAUGACUAAGAUAAUGAAGAACAAAUUAUCCUUAGUGCUCAACAGUGAAAAAUCUUGAUAGAAUACAAUAGACAAUAAAUUUUAGAUCAACAACUGAAGUAGAACAAGCAAUCCAUUAGAAGAGUCAAGUAGAGCAUGAUGUCUACUAUCUUCUAUGAUUUAAAAGUCCAUCAUCAAUAUUUUAUCUUUGUAACAUCAAUCAAUAAAUAUUUCAAAUCAACAAUUUUUUCACGCACUACGGGCCAAGGAUAUUCGUUUGAAUCACCAGUGGUCAUGAUCAUGCCAAACAACUGUCCAUCUAUACACUACGAGCCAAAGAGGACUUUCACCACUAUAUUUGUCUGUAACAUUACAGGUCAUGAUUAUAUCAAUACACAAUUCCUAGUCAUAAUUAUACCAAUCAACAGUUCAUCUAUGUACUGCGAGCCAAAGAUAACUUUUACCACAAUAUAAGCAUAAGGAUGAUGACAAUGAUAUAAUGAAUCAAUCAAGUGAGAUCAAUGAUAAAUAUUAAAAAUUUACAAUUCAAUUUAUUCAGAGUUCAAGAAUGUCCAAAUUGUCAACAUGAUAACUAAUUAUGGAGUAAAAUUUAAGAAUGAUAUUCAUGUAUCAAAAAUAAUUUGAAAAGAAAAUAAACCAAUUUUGCGUGAAUAGUACCCAAAUAAAUAGUACCCGAGUAAAUAGUACCCUGUGAAUAGUACCCCGAAUGAAAAUAUUGAAAUUUAAUAAGAAAGUUCAGACCAGUAUUUUAAUGAAACGAUACUAGAUGAAGCACAAAACUCAAUGAUAUUCUACUAAUUUCAGAGAUUAUAGAAGCAAUACUUAUAAAAGUAAGUGUAGAUUUAGGAAUAUGAAACGAAAUAAUAUUACUUACAUACUAUAGAGUAUGGAAGAAAAUAAUAUUUCUUACUUGAUGUCUAUUAUAUUUUAUCAGUAUAACACUGUUGAGGACUAAUAAUAAUUUAUCCUGCAUUAUCUUAGUCAUAAUAUUUCUUACUGGGCUAGUUGAGCUCACCCUUUCUUUUACUGUUCUCUUCAG
RNAcentral lists this long non-coding RNA (3348 nucleotides) under Panax ginseng (ginseng). Its description in RNAcentral is "long non-coding RNA (PGIN_LNC012816)". The record is from RNAcentral. Lineage: Eukaryota; Viridiplantae; Streptophyta; Magnoliopsida; Apiales; Araliaceae.